RNAcentral lists this ribosomal RNA (75 nucleotides) under uncultured Lactobacillus sp. RNAcentral describes it as "partial 16S ribosomal RNA". The record is from RNAcentral. Lineage: Bacteria; Bacillati; Bacillota; Bacilli; Lactobacillales; Lactobacillaceae.
AGGUCUUGACAUCCAUAGCCAGUCUAAGAGAUUAGAUGUUCCCUUCGGGGACUAUGAGACAGGUGGUGCAUGGCU